CAGUAGCCGCGGUAAUACAGAGGAUGCAAGCGUUAUCCGGAAUGAUUGGGCGUAAAGCGUGCGCAGGCGGUUCUAUAAGACAGAUGUGAAAUCCCCGGGCUCAACCUGGGAACUGCAUUUGUGACUGUAGAGCUGGAGUGCGGCAGGGGGGGAUGGAGUUCCGCGUGUAGCAGUGAAAUGCGUAGAUAUGCGGAGGAACACCGAUGGCGAAGGCAAUCCCCUGGGCCUGCACUGACGCUCAUGCACGAAAGCGUGGGGAGCAAACAGGAUUAGAUACCCCGGUAGUCCCUGUCUCUUAUAC
RNAcentral lists this ribosomal RNA (301 nucleotides) under uncultured bacterium. RNAcentral describes it as "partial 16S ribosomal RNA". It matches the Rfam family "Bacterial small subunit ribosomal RNA", at positions 509 to 807 of the family's 1533-position model. The record is from RNAcentral.